ACAUCUCACAGGUCCUAACAUCCAACAACAGAUAGCAACAGAAGAGCCACUAAAUAAUGAAAUAAAUCUCAUAACAUAAGAAGAGAGAAAAGAAAACAGCAUGGACCUUAGAAACGCCUAGGACAAGCUAAACAAAAUGAGCCAUAUAAAAUCCUUUAUGUGCCCCUACAACAACUGAGUGUCAGAUAUUGCAUGUAUCUAUGUCUAAUUAUGCUGGAAAUUUUAGGCAAAUCUUCUAGGUCUUACUGGAAAUGAUAGCUAUGGUAGCAAAAGUCAAGAGUGAGAAAGCUUUCCAGACAGAUAAUAUAUGAAGGGGAUAAAAAGAUAGAGAGAAACACACUUAAAUAAUCAAAAUGCAGCGUAUUUCUUAUAACUUUUUAGCACUAUCAGUUCCAUUUCAUGACCAGUAGUCCUUCAAAUUUCAUCACAAAUUAAUCCAAAUAGAGGCAGGUUAAACAAAUCGAUUAUACAAUGAAAAGUAAAAAUUGACUCUACAAAAUCAAUAGUGUUAUAAGUUGAAACUUUUUAAUUUCACAUAUUAACCUUCAGUUCUGUUUUGCUCUCUUGCUGGUAUAAGUAAAACCCUAGAACUUUAAUUCAGGAGGAAAAUGUAACAAAGAGAUUGUACCUGAGCAUAUAAACAAGGAUCCCGAUAAGCCUCGGGGUCUCUAGAGACCGCAUGAAGUGAAACAGACAAGAAAUCAACUGCAUAACCUUUACUCCUAUCAGUAUCGCUUAGCCACACCACUUGCCUGGUGAUAUUUAACGAAUCGCAAAACUAAAACUCAACUACUGAUUAAGAAACAAACAAUAUACAUGAACACAAACAAAAGUAGAUUGAAGGUCAAGAUGUUACUUGGAGGUGAUAUAGAGAGUGCCAGGUGACUCAGGAGGGCGGCUGCCGAGGACUACAGCAGUUCCAGGCUGAACAUACAUGAGUUCCUCGCCGUUGUCGGUGUCGAGGAAUGGCUGCCCGGCUCCGUCACCGGUUCUUUCAGCGACGAACUUCAAGCCUGACAUAUUUUCCGGCUAAUUGCUGUUGCUUAGCUUAGCAAAAAAAAGUAGUCUAGGGUUUUAGUUUAGGUUGGGCGCCAAAAUUAACUUCGACAGCAUUUUACACUCGUAAGAAGCUUCUGGACUCUCAGUCCCCUCUUGACCAAAGUCAAAAUCAUUAGCUUUUUUUUUUCGUUUUUCUUUUUUCUUUUUGUCCUUUUUGAUACGUUGGAAAAUAAAAAAAAUCACUACUAAUAUGUUUGUAACUUGUGAGCUACCUUGCUUAAAAUCAAUAAUAAAGAAUAAUUUUUUUUAUUACUUUAACAAAAAAAAAAGGAUGAAAUGCGUUUAAAUUAGGUACAAUUAAAAUAAAAUGUCAUUCGUUAAAAGUUUUAUUCAAAAAUAUUUUUGUCAUUAAUAGUUUAAUUCAAAGAUACUCUUAUUUUCACUUAAUUUGAUCAAAAUUGUCUUGUUCUAAUAAAAAUAUCCGUUUUUCUUUUUAAACAAAAAAUUUCUUAUAGAAAUAUUAUUUUAAAAGAUAAAAUUAUUUUUUCAUACUAAAAUACAAAAUAAUUUUAUUUCUUAAUCUUUUUCGAGUUGAGGUAGGAUAAACAUUUAGUAAUAAAAUUCUUGAAUUUUAAAAUUUAUAUGGAAAAGGCAAAUUAAUUAUAAAAGCAGGGAUCAUAUUAUGAAACGUUUAUCCUACUCCAAUUCAAAAAAGAUUAAGAAAUAAAAAUAUUUUUUAUUAGAAAAGAAAAUUGUAGUGUUAUCUAAAUGAAAAUCAAUAAAGAGGGUAUUGUGAUUUUAGUUAUAUGUAUUAAGAAAAAAAAAGUAUUAUUUUCCACUUUUUUUAUUAGUUAACUAAAUUAUAUUUAAAAAGUAAGAAUAAGGUUCUUUAGAUAUAUUAUAGUAUCUAUUAGAAAAAGAAUGUGUUUAAAUGUAUAUAUAUUAGGGAAAUGAUUGUUUUAGACCCAAUAAAGUAAAAAUUGGGACGUUUUUUGGCCAGAUUAUUAACAAUAAUUUUUUUUAAUCAAUUCGUUUUAUAAAAGACAUUUUUAUUCAGUUUCACAUAAUUUAAUGACAUUUCUUAUUUUUUCGGAGUUUUAAUUAUAUCUUCCUAAACCACCAAAUCUUCUUCUAAUAUGUAACCUUCAUUUAUCAAUAUAUAUAUUUAUAAUUGUUGCUUAAACCUUGAGUUGGUAGUUAAAUUUUGAUUUUGGUUCUUGUAUUAUCAUGCUAUGCAAAUUGAAUUUUAAUUAAAUAAACUGUGUGAUUUAGUUCCUAAACCUAACUCCAAAACGAAUGGUGUUGGCUUUCGUUAUUCAAUUUUUAUUUUUUUUUAUAAAAUAAAACUCACUGUUCUUGUCGAAUGAGGGGAAAAAUUCUCAAUUUCUAUUUGGCAACUCAAUCAUCAAAUUGCUUAGUUGGAGAAUGACUUCAAGAGAGAAGUUGUUGAGUUUUAAGAUAUGCAAAUGUGUCAAUUUAUCUAUCUAUUACCAUACAUAAGGUUAGGAUCAUAAUCAACAAUUGAUAUAGAGAAAACAUAUAAACACCUAAAGUUAUCCUGAUUUUAAAAAAAGAUACAUUAACUUCACCAAUGUUUUAGUACUCCAUAAAAAUUUUAAAUAUCUUUGUUAAAAUAUCAUUUUGAUCAAUUUUCUCCCUACAUUUAUUUUCACGCAGAUGACGCACGUAAAUAAAAAAAUUUGCUUUCAAAAACGGAUUAAAAAGCGUCAUGUAUCAAUUCUUUCCUAUUAUUUAAUUACUUCCUCUUUAAAAACAUUGUCUUCUCCAAUUCUUUCAAAAGAGUCGUUGGUUGAAGGUUUAAACAAAAUCAUCUUCUUUCUUAAAUGAAAUCAGUCCAAAAAGAUAUGAACUUUUUAAUUUCUUGUUAAUUUCCAGUUGUUCAAGGUUUAAUUUCUUCAAAUUUGAGAUACCAAGUGUUUGCAACAAAUUUCCUUAAGCGCUGAAAAUCAACUUCAAGCAAAAUAAAUAAAAGAAAAAUGUUAUUUUUAUUUAUGAAUCGUUGUGAGUACAAUUCUGUUGUUCUCUUGAUUCUCUCUCCAAGAUUCGAGGGUCUUCAGUAGCGUAUUUCUCGAAAUAUUGGAUGAUGUAGACCUCCUUGAGAUGUUGUCGAUCUACGGGAACGUCGGAAUGCGCUUCGUCGUUUCAAGUCGAUCUCCGGGAAGAACUCCGUUGAUGACUCCUUCGAAGAGCUAUGUAGUUAAUGGUGUAGCUUCCUCCAAUUGCAGAAUGCUUGUUGAAGAGUUUUCUUGAUGCCCUUAGAAUGUCAUGUCCAUCCUCUAUUUAUAGUUGUAGGGGGUGGACAAGGUUGCUUGUGAUUGGCCAAAGAAUGUCAUUUUGACACUUGGCGGAUUGUGACUGGUUCUUGCAUUUGACUGGGACUACCACCUCAUUUGGACACGUAGCGUUACCUUGUUGGUCUUGGAUGCCUAGUCACAGUGACACGUGGCAUGAGUUUGGGCUUCAAGGUGAAAUGGACCUUGGAUUUGAAUUUAAUAAGAUGAACUUAUUUAUUUGUAAAGCCCAAAUUAAUCAUUCAGCCCAAAUGAACAUGAUUUAAUUCAAAUUUUGUAUGAAUUUGAUCUAAUACAAUUUAUGUGUCUACAAAUGCCCUUACUUCGAGACUUGUCGACGUGUAUGCUUGCCGAAGUUUGGCGACAAGACUUGAAGUAUUCAUGAAUGUGUUUUUUUUAGGCUUGUCAACGUGUAGGCUUGCCGAAUUUGACGACGAGAGUUAGAGUCUUCAUGAAUGUGUUUUCUCUUUUUGAGACUUCAAGAGUAUUUGUUUCUUGUCGUCGUAUUCUAACUAGACCAUUACAAAUGAUUUGCUUGUAGUGAUCUGAAUUUUUUAAAAACAUUCUUGCUCGACAACCACGUGGACCCUCUAUAUUGAUUUCAAAAUAGAUGGGUCUAGUGAGUAGUAACAUUAUUUUUUCGUCUGAUUUUCCUUGCAAGGUGUGAAGAAAAAACAAGAAGAUUGAUUGGAUUUUGAAUCAAAUAAAAAGAAUAUCAACUUUUCUUAUCCAAGUCAAUGAAGAUAUUCUUCUUUCCUUAACUCUUUGGUCAUCCUUCCAUAUUGGUGUGGCUUCAAAAUGGACAUGAACUAUCUCAACCCAAAUCAGAUUUUUAUUUUCCAAAUCCACCUUAUUAUGCCUUGUGGAAGGAUUAGAAAUCUUUCACAAGAAUCCCUAUAUAAUCCUCUCCAAUGCAUAAAGAGUUUCAUCAUACAAAAUUUUAGAUGCUGCAAAAAACAAGUUAUCCGAGUGUAUUUAACUGUUCAGUUGCGACGUCGCUUGUUUUUAUCAAAUCGGGAGACAUAACCUCCAUCAUAUCUCAAAAGAAACUUCAAGCAAGGUACUCUUGCUACUUUCUCAGGUAACUUAGACUCUUGUUUAGCAGUAACCCGUCUUGAUGGUUCAGCUUUGCACGCCUGUAGUGUAAAAUCCAUAUCUAAUUGUAGAAAAAUCAAAAUCGUAAGCCGUUUGGUUUUUCCGAAACUAGAAACAUGGCACUACGACAUAUAAAAUAUUUGUAGCCAAAUUCGUUUUCAAUUGCUACAGUUUUGAUCUUCAAGUUUGAACCCGUUUCUGAUUGACAGAUUUGCGUGUCCGUAGUGUACAAUUCAUUUCUAAUUGUAGAAAAAUCGAAAUAGCAAGUCGUUUGGUUUUUCCAAAACUAGAAACAUGGAACUACGACAUAUAAAAUAUUUGUAGCCAAAUUCCUUGUCAAUUGAUACAAUUUUAAUUUUCAAGGUUGAACUCAUUUUUGAUGGUCAGAUCUUUUUUUGUCUUUUGAUUACUCCGAUUGUGUUUUCGCCAAUGUAACCUCCUUUUUUUUUCCAGAGCCACAUUGUGCAAUAUUGAUUUCAAGCAGCGACAAUGGACUUUAGUGAUCGAGAUGCGCCAUACCCUUGCCUUGAAAUCGUGAGAACAAGCAACAUUCGCGCGCCAAAGUUCUCACCAUGAAAGUUCAUCCUCCGGUGAUCGGCGCCUUCCCACUUCUUAGAAAGACGUUGGACACUUCUCAUCAUCUCCCGGAGUGGUCGUCAACAGAAGCGAAGGAUGUUACGAACGAUUUCUCCGGCAAUGUCACAACUGAAAAAGUUCUCCUCUUGAAGUCUUCCACUCAUCAAAAUGUUGUUGUUGCCGUCCCUCCUCGUCGUGAUGAACAUCUUAGCAGUUGGCGUGUUCUUUCUUCUGGGUUUGGUGAGGUUCACUAUACGUCUGGCUAUUGGGAGUGGGUAGAGGAUGAGCUUGCCCGCUGCAAGGAGACUUUGGAUAACAUGAAGACUUAUGAUGCUAUCUUUGCUUCAAUGUUCACAUACGACCACAACGAAAACGUUCUCCAGGCCUUUUGCGAGAAUUGGCGUCCAUCCACCAAUACGGUCUCUACCUUCGUAGGAGAGUUAUCUAUUUCUUUAUGGGAUUUGAGAACCAUUGGAGGUCUUUAUGUUCAUGGUUCCUUUUAUGAUGAAGUUAUACCCUCGGCUAAGGAGUUGACACAUGUAGAUGAUCAAGGGAAGUCUUUUCUCCCAAGAAGUUGCUCCUUCUUGUUUUCGGCGUUCUACCGACUUACCAAAGGUGCCAUCGACGAAGUCUCUUUUCGAGAAUGGACAAAGUUUUGGUUUAGGGGGCCGAGAAAAUAUGCCGAGCCUUCGCCAAGGACGUUUAAGAAUCAUACAAUACCAAGGUUGAAUCAUGAUCCUUCUGGAAAUAUUGACAUGAGCUUUUUGCCUCGAACCGAAUAAGAGAAUGCUCUUUUUGUCGAGCUAGGCAUAGAAGAAUCAUUCAGGGAUGAGACUUAUCUGGAGGGUUUUCUCGCAUGUUGGCUUUGCAAGUUUGUUCUUCCUAACAGGAAAGUUGAUUGUAUUCAUGCUAGUGUCUUCAAAGUUGCAAGCUUGAUGGCUCAUGGAGAAAUAUUUUCUUUGGCGGUUCCGGUCUUAGCAAACAUCUAUCGCGGCCUCAGGGAUAUAUCCACUUCUUCAAACUUGGGUGCUUGUAAUACAUUACUUCCCUUCCAUUAUGUAUAUGGAUGGAUAGGUGAGUAUUUUGAGACCUACUUUCGUAUUACCCGUCCUCAACGAGUUGUGCGAAUUUGGCAAAUUUUUGGAGAAAAGAUGGCGAAACAUUUUGACCUCGUUGACGCUCGCAAGUUAUUUCAACAAGUGAAUGUCCAUGACCUCCACAAUCUGGCCAUGCUACAAGGAAAUGAGCUGCAUAUUGAUGAUAGUGGAAAAUUGUCCACUUCCUGGAGCGAUUUCCUUAUAGGUCUUCGUUCAAGUUUUGUCACUUUGAGGUUGGAUGAUGAACUGAUUGUGGAGCCUUAUAGCCCUCACCGAUUCAGUUGACAAUUUGGAUAUUGUCAAGACGUUCCUGGUGCACUUAUAGAGCACCAUUAUGAUGGUUCACUGCUAGCUUUGGUGCAACUAUGGGAUUCAUGUGUUUAUCUUGGGAGCUCUUCGAAGAUCAUCAUACCAAUGUGUUCAUCCAAUAAGAGGUCUUUAAUGACUCGUGAGUAUUCAGAUUGGUGGCCAUCCCAUCGAGAUAUUCUACUGAGACGAAGUACCCACAUAAUUUUGAGAGGUCCGAAAAAAGAUGAUGUUUCUUUACCAACCAAAGGAGAACAACUUCAAGAAAAGCUUCCUCACUCUUUAAAGUCCAAGGUGACACCAAAUAUUCCUCAGCAAUCUGUCAGCGUUGUUUCCAAGUCCAAAAGUUCGAAGGGCAAGGCUACACAUGUGGAUAACAGAGUUAAGGGUCCUUUACAGACUCCCAAGGCUGCCAAUAUCACUGAUAAAGAGGUGAUCGACGUAACUCUCAAGAGGAAGAAACCUUCCAGCUCAUCGGACAAAGGUGUUGUAAAGCCACUUGGCAUUGCACCAUCUUGUAGCAACACGUCAAAAACGUUUAUUUCACUCCAUGAGAUUGACAUUAAUGCUAGUGCAGCCUCUAGCUCCAAUGAGAGCAAUGUUAGCCAAGAGCUACAUUGGAAGCGUUUGAAGAAAAAAUCUAAGGACUUGAACACUCAACAAUGCGAGUUCGUUGAAUUGGAUUCCAUUAGUAUUGAUACUGCGAUCUUUGAAGAUGGUGUUGCUGGUUCUACAAUGCCCUUGACAGAAUUGGCACAUCAGGUAAAAGUCACCUCUUGAAUAUUUCUCUAAACUUGCCUCCCUUUUUUUCUUUGCAGCUACUUUCUUCAACAGGUUACCAAGUGUCUUGUUAAAAGCUUCAGCAAGACCAUUGGUAGGUGCAUUGUACAUUGAAGACUUAUGUUGCUUAAAACUGAACUUCUCGCACAAACUAUUCAUGAGUUUAUUGUUGAAGGGUGUGCCAUUAUCAAUAAUUAUACAUCUUGGUAUGCCAUAUCUAAAAAUUAUGUUUGAUUUGAUAAAAUCAAUAACAUUUUCCUUCUUUACCUCUUUUAAUGGUACAACUUCAACCCAUCUAGAGAAAUAGUCAGUGGCAGCUAAAAUAUAUAUUUGUCCUUUUGAUGACUUUGGAAGAGGUCCAACAACAUCAAGUCCCCAUGCAUCGAAGGGCCAUGAGGCUACAGUCGUAUGCAGAGCCUCUGGAGAUUGAUGGAUGUAAUUAGCAAGUGAUACGCUUGACACUUUUUGGCAUGCUCUAAGCAGUCCAUCACCAUUGUUGGCCAAUAGUAGCCUAUCCUUUUGAUGCGAAAAUGAAGUUUAGGCCCUGAUUGGUGUGCUCCACAUGUUCCAGAAUAUGCCUCCUCCAUUGUUUGUUGAGCUUCUUCUUUGUCAAGACACCGCAAUAAUAGUCCCUCAUAAGAAUGACGAAACAGUAUCCCAUCGUGAAAGAUGAAUCGUGGUGCUCUUCUCUUAAUGUCUGCUCUUACUCGUGGAUCCUCAGGCAGUCUUCCAUGUUCAAGAUACUCAAUCAGUGGUUUUCUCCAAUCUCCUUCUUUAACCACUCGAACAGAUAUAUGAUGGCUUUCAUCGAUUUGAAGAUCAAGACAACCAGGAAUAACCCAUUGAUGACAUACACGCACCUUUGUUGUCUAAUUUUCUUCGAGUGCUAUUGUUGUAGCCAAGUUAGCCAAAGCAUCUGCCAUGCGAUUUUCUUCUCUUGGGACAUGAUUUAAGAACACUUGAUCAAAUCUUUCAAGUAAGAAAGUAGCAUAUUGGUGAUAUGACAAAAGAUCUUCCUUCUUUACCUCAUUGCUUCCCGAGAGUUGAUUGAUGAUCAAUUGAGAGUCAUCGUAGAUAUCCAAUUGAAGAAUCUUCACAUCUUAUGCCAUUUCAAGGUUCAAAAUCAAAGCUUGGUACUCUGCGGCGUUGUUGGAACAUGUUUCACCUAGAACAAAUGAAAAUGGUAAGAUUAGUUGUUCUGGAGAUAUCAACACGACUCCCGCCCCUGCACCAUCUCGACGUGCAGAUCCAUCAAAGAACAUUGUCCAUAUUGGCAGCUCUUUAGUAAAAAAUGCAUCUUCAUCAGGGAACUCAUCUGAAGUUUCCCAUUUUCCCAUUUUCCCGGAAGAGGGUGAUCAGCAAGGAAAUUAUCAAGUGCUUGCCCCUUCACAGCCUUUUGAGGUGUGUAAAUGCUCUCAUAUUGAUUAAACAGUAUAGACCAUCAUGCUAGACAUCCUGAGAGAACUAUUCGAGUCAUUACGAACUUCACGGGAUCAGCCCGAGAAAUUAGCUUGAUAGUGUACGCUUUAAAAUAAUGCCUCAAUUUUCUUAUCGCAUAAAGCAAUGCUAAGCACAUCUUCUCAAUGGGGGUAUAAUUCAACUCAGCUCCUAUCAAGGUCUGACUUAGAUAGCACAAUGCUUGUUCCUUUUUAGCUUUAUUCUCUUGAGCAAGAAGUGUCCCAAGUGAUCGCUCUUGCGAUGCAAUGUACUGUAUCAAAGGCUUUCCAAGAGUUGGUGCCACUAAUACAAGCGAAUUUAUCAAGUAUAUCUUGAUGCUUUCAAAGGCAUUUCGACAUGAUUGGUCCCUGUGGAAAGGAGCAUCUUUCUUCAUUAAAUGGUUGAAAGGUUGACAUCAUCCAACCAGGUUAGAAAUGAAUCUCUGAAUGAAUGACAAAUUUCCUUGUAGACUGCGUAGGUCUCUCAAGUUCUUUGGCUCAGGCAUUUUUUGAAUGGCAUCAAUCUUUGCGGGAUCAACUUCAAUUCCACGGUGACGCACAAUGAAGCCAAGAAACUUUCCUGAGGUAACCCGAAAUGCACAUUUGAGUGGAUUCAUCUUCAAGUCAAAUUUCCUUAACCUUUUAAAAACAAUUCGAAGGUCUUUAAGAUGGUAUUCCCUUUGUUUUGUCUUUACCACCAAGUCAUCAACAUAACAUUCCACCCUCUUAUGAAGCAUGUCAUCAAAUAUGUUUUGCAUUACACGUUGAUAGGUGGCCCCAUCAUUCUUUAGACCAAAGGGCAUCACUUUGUAGCAAUAAAUUCCUUUUAGAGUUCGGAAAGAGGUGUAUUCUUUAUCUUUUGGAGACAUUCUGAUUUGAUUAUAUCCAGAAGAUCCAUCCAUAAAUGACAUUGAUUCAUGCCCAGUUGUAGCAUCAACCAUGAGCUCAAUGAUUGGCAGAGGGAAGUCAUCUUUUGGACAUGUUUUGUUCAAAUCUCAAAAAUCAACGCAGACACGUAUUUGACCAUUCUUCUUCUUAACAGGUACAAUAUUUGAACUCCAUAACGGGUACUUCACUUCUUGAAUAAAUCCAUCUUGGAUGAGCUUGUUAACCUCCGCUUCAAUUUGUGUUACCAACUCAGGACGAAACACUAGUUGUGACUGCUUUAUAGGACGUGUUCCCUUUUUUAUCCCCAAAUGAUGAAUAGCUAUCAUAGGACUAAGGCCCGACAUUUCUCUGUACGACCAAGCAAAAACGUCUUUGAACUCAACCAAUAACUUGAAGUAUUUCCUCUCUUCUUCUGGUGUAAGAACUGCACUAAUGAAGAUUGGACGCGGAUCUUCUAGAUUGCCUAGAUUUAGUUCCUUGAGGUCGUCUAUGGUUGAUUGUAUGCCAUCCUCCAGUUGAGGGGGGACCUCUUGGACAUCAUCAUCUGUAUCGUCAAUGUUUGGACCUUCUUCCACUGUUAUGUGAUAGGAUGAUUGUGUCAAGUUUGAAUCUUCCAUUUGACUUCCCACUGUGAUGGUUUCAUCUUCCUCCUUAUAAGUUUCUCCAUGAAACUGGUUGGUGACAACAAUUGUGCUUCUUUUCACCCUCAAAGAACUAUCAGUGAUGAUUGACAAUAAAGCCUUUCUCUUCAUACGUUAUGGGAAAACACUAUGAAUCUCUUUGUCAUCAGUUACAUCACAAUAAUCUUGAUUUUCAUGCUCCAGCAACCUUCUUUCGGAUAAUGACUUUCUUUUGGUUCCCAAGAGAUGAAAUACAGAAGUCUUUGAGGUGGUGGCAUAUUCGUCCACUUGUUUAGAGGAUCCUCUUUCAUCGUUGCGGCCCAAUCUUUCAAAUGCAGAGACAUGAGGUGUCAAUCUUCCAAUGCGUUCAAACACCGAUGCCCGUUAUGGUGUUUUACCCUCCUUAGAUUCCUUUGUCUUCUCUAUAGAAGUGUAGUGGGAUGAAGUUAUUUCUUUCCCCUUCUUAGAUGAAAUCCGAAGAGGCUCCGGUAAGCUGAAUCCUAACCCAAACUUAGGAGUGGCGACAUAAUAUCCUUGUUUUCUCAACCACAUUUGAGACUUUGUAAGUCCAUAUAUCUUUUCACCGGUGACUUCUUCCGUGAGUUCUCCUAACUUUGCUGGAUUUGAGAAGUUGUAACCUGAUUUUUCAAAUAAUGUGAAGACCUUUUGAUCAAAGUUCUCUUUUAUCUGACCAACUUGGGUAUUUCCUUUGGAAGGCUCCAAAGUGAAAGACGGGACUUGUGCAACUGAGACAUACAUUUUCUCCUUCAAAUCUUGGAAUGUUGUGUGACUCAAUUCUUUCCUCGGUGGGUGAACUUGUUGGGUACAUUCCUCUAGCAGUGAUUGUCCUUUUUUUCAACGUUCACGUGAAAUAUAGCGAAAAAUUGGUUGCUCAUCAUCAAUAUUGGUCUGCAUGUCUCCUUUAGAUGGUGAAAGCUUAAUGGAAACUUCUUCCGUUCUCUUCUUAGACAUCUUGAUAGCGUCCUAUUGAACUUUACUAUCUUCGAGAUCAAUCGAAUCGGCUUCUGCAUGUUUCUCCAUAUUUGAUCUUCCAGAAUCUAAAUAGAAUUUUGCAUCUGCAAAAUAUGACUCCAUCUCAGUGAAAGGAUUGAUGUCUGCUUCAAUUUUGACUACUUCACCAUCUUUCAUAUACUUCAUGCAUUGAUGCAAAGUAGAUGACACCACUCCAUUUUCAUGAACCCAAGGACGUCCGAGUAACAUGUUGUAUGGUUUUGGCAUCUAUGACAUGAAUCAAUGUGUUUGAUUUCACGUCGCCAAUGGACAAUCCUACGCGAAUCCUCCCUAUGGAUCGUUGUCCUCCUUGAUUGAAACCUUGGAUUGUUAAGUUACUUUUGGACAAUUCAUCAAUAGAGAUCCCAAGUUUUUUUCUAACAACUUUUGCCAUGAUAUUGACUGCCGAACCACCAUCGAUUAGUAUGCGAUUGAGAUGUUGUUCUCGAAUAGACCCUACAACAAACAAGGGCCUAUUAUGUAGCUUAGACCCUAACAACAAGUCAUCAUCUGUGAAGGCAAUUGUAGCACAACAUGGGGCAACUUUUUCAUCAGUUUGAUGUUCUUGUGUUAUUGUUGGAUUAUGCUCACAUUUGCUUCCCUUUGUUUCAUCUGUGCUGGAAAUAACAUGUGUUGCACCAAUUUGACUACCACAAAAGAAUUUUUCAGGACAGAAUUCAUCCAAUGUAAUGGGACUUCGAACCUUCUGCGACGAAGAACCAUUGAUCUUUUGGCUAGUACAAGGCUUGACGCUUUUUGAUGGUUGUAGUUGAUUCACAUCACUCCUUGUUACUCUUGUCUUAAGAAGUCAUAUCCUAAAGACUGCGUGAUGUCUCCGCUUCUUAUGAGUAACCAAAGUCCAACCAUCAGCUUCAUUUUCUUUGUGGUUGUCUAUCUCUAGUGAACCCUCAAGAGUUUUCCUUAGAAUUCAACUUCAAUAGGCGUUAAACUUCCAAAUUACAAGAAAGUAGACCUUGAGCACUUAUUUUGAUUUGGUGUUACACUAGCAUGAUUUUCCUCCGUUGUUUCAUCCUGGUCAAUGGUGAUUUUUCCUUCACUUACUAACAUCAUGAUUUUCUCCUUCAAGAUAAAACAUUUACUCGUCGGUUGGCCAAGGACACGAUGGAACUUGCAGUAUCUAGGAUCACCAACCUUAUUGAUUUCUUCAGGCCUCUUUGAUUCAGUAAGAUCAAUAACUUUCUUAGCUAGCAAUUCAUCAAGAAUCAUAGGUACAUCUGAAUCUGGAAAUGGGUAAACCUUUGCCUCUAACUCCUUCAAGGUUGGGUGUCGCCUCUCCUCCCUUGGAUAUUGACUUGGAGCUUCCUCCUCUUUUAGUUUACUCUUGGUGGUGACCUUUACAAAAGUUGCUUUCACCGCCAUAGAUUCCUUAGUCUGGAUCUUUCAGGUCAUACCUUUCUUGAACUCCUUCUUUUCCUUUGUCAGAUUAGCAAAUUGAGAUGUCUUCCCAUGACUUGUGAUGCUCAACUCCAUGUCAUGAGCUCGUGUAACACGUUCCUCAAAAGUUCGCGGUUUGAUUCCUUGUAGUAUGUAUAUAAGUCCCCAAUGCAUACCCUGAAUGCACAUUUCCACAACAGAUAUUUCAGAAAGACAAUCUUUGCAGUCCAGACUCAACGAUCUCCAACGAUUGAUGUAAUCCACCAUAACUCAUCAUUUCUUUGCUUAGUACCGGUCAACUCUAUCAUGCUUACAGUUUCGGUGAGUACUGUAGAAAUGAUUGAGGAAUUCCUUCUCGAGCUGCUCCCAACUAUCAAUGGACUCGUGUUCUAGGUCGAUAAACCAGUCGAAUGCAUUCCCUUUCAGCGAACGAACAAACUAUUUUACCAAAAAGUCACAAUGCGUUCCAACAUUGCUACAAGUUUCAACAAAGUGAGCGAUAUGUUGCCUUGGGUUCCCCUUGCCAUCAAAUUGUUGUACCUUUGGUGGUUGAUAGUUUGUUGGCAUUGAUAGACAAUCAAUCCGUUUGGUAUAUGGCUUGGAGUAAUACAAGGAACUUUGUGGUGUUCCGCCAUAUUGAGCCUUGAUAGUGUUCGUUACCAUGUCUUGCAACUAUUGGACAUAUAGUGCAGCAACUGAAGCAAAUUGUUUCUCCUUUUGAAAUUUUGACUUUGCUAAAGAUUCCUCAACAUCCUUGUUUCGUUGAUCAAAACCAGAUGGGCAAGUGGGGACAUGACUUGACUUUCCAGGUGUGAAGGCCUCCAACUUGUUCAUAAGUUGAGCAAUAUGAAGAUUUUUGUCAUCAAUGGAUUUCUUCAAGGCCUCAAUGGUUUGCUCCAUCACGCCAACUUCUCGUCCAUGUCAGUUGAGUCAGCCAUCAAAACAUUGACAUUCAUUGAAGUUGGAGAAUCUAUUGAAUCUUCACAUUCACCAAAGUUGGAGCCAAUUUGAGAAAAUUCUCCAAAGAACACAGACGCAAGAUUGCCCCUAGGUGUUGCACUUACGACCAUCGUAUGAGAGUUGUUGUUUUUCAUCGCCUCCAAAGAAGUGAAGUAUUCAGAUCCAUCUAGCCCACUGUUCUUAAACUUAGGCCAAGUAAUCGGGCCAACAUGACUGAGAUCAGCAGAUACGACAUCAGUAGAGUCCUUGUAUGAAAAAUCACUACUCUUUCUGAAGGCCAUUGCAGUAGUUGCCUUUGUAGUUUCUGAUUUGCAAGAGAAAGAGAUGAAGAGCAGAAUCGAUCCCACUGGGCGUGCCAAAUUUGUUUGCAACAAAUUUCCUUAAGCGCUGAAAAUCAACUUCAAGCAAUAUAAAUAAAAGAAAAAUGUUAUUUUUAUUGAUGAAUCUUUGUGAGUACAAUUCUGUUGUUCUCUUGAUUCUCUCUCCUAAGAUUCUCCAAGAUUCGAGGGUCUUCAGUAGCGUAUUUCUCGAAAUAUUGAAUGAUGUAGACCUCCUUGAAAUGUUGUCGAUCUAUGGGAACGUCGGAAAGUGCUUCGUCGUUUCAAUUCGAUCUCCGGGAAGAACUCCGUUGAUGACUCCUUCGAAGAGCUAUGUAUUUGAUAGUGUAGCUUCCUCCAAUUGCAGAAUGCUUGUUGAAGAGUUUUCUUGAUGCCUUUAGAAUGUCAUGUCCAUCCCCUAUUUAUAGUUGUAGGGGGUGGACAAGGUUGCUUGUGAUUGGCCAAAGAAUGUCAUUUUGACACUUGGUGGAUUGUUUGGUUCUUGCAUUUGACUAGGACUACCACCUCAUUUGGACACGUAGCAUCACCUUGUUGGUCUUGGAUGCUUAGUCACAGUGACACGUGGCAUGAAUUUGGGCUUCAAGGUGAAAUGGACCUUGGAUUUGAAUUUAAUAAGAUGGACUUAUUUAUUUGUAAAGCCCAAAUUAAUCAUUCAGCCCAAAUGAACAUGGAUUUAAUUCAAAUUUUGUAUGAAUUUGAUCCAAUACAAUUUAUGUGUCUACACCAAGUUAUCUUCUCUGAUUAGAUUUUGAGAGGAAAAUAUUUUUAUAAUGUCAAAUACAGUCUUGAAUUGCAUUUGUAAUGAGGAUAAUGAUCUGAUAUUACGUACGAAAAUGCAAUGCAAACAUGGAUACUUACUUUUAUUGCAAACGUCGUGGUCGAAAGACGAUACAACUCGAAGAUUUUGAUCUUAUCCACACUAUCGUAUAUGUUCUCUCCAUAAGUUAUUUCUAUUUUUUGUUUAAUUUAUUUAUGACAUAUUUUAGGAGAAAGUGUUAAACUUCGUUAGAUGCAGAGAUCGUGAAGAUACUAAUAUAAGAUAUAAGUAUAUUAUUAUGAUAUUGGCGAAAGAGAAUUAAAGAGUUGGAAGAAGUACAUUGGCAUUUUAUGAAAUUCAUAUUGAAAGUAACAUAUAAGUGAUGAAGGAGAAGAAAAGAAGAGCAAAUAUCGUAAUGGAAAGCUAAUCGUCAUGUCAACUUUUUAAGCAUUAUCAAGAAUAUGAAAGAUGAAAUAUGUAAUUGGAUGCAACCGAAACUGUCAUAGUUAUUAUACUCUAUAUCUUUAGUUUACUCUUCUUCUUUUUUAUCUUGUUGGAAUAGUUAUAACUUUAACAAGAUGUAAGCGCAUUUGAUUGUGUAAGGCUUUUAAAACCUCAUUUGUAUCACUUUCAAACAAGUUAACCCUUCAUCUAUUUCUAUCUAUCUUAUUGUGGUAACCAUUUGAGAAAAUUCAAAAAGAUGUUCAACUACAAACAUAUGAGAAGAUAUACUAAAAGAAACAAAAAUAUUACACAAUUAUAUAAAAUGAGGAUUUUCACUCUUAACAUAAUCAAUGUUUCAAUUUAAACUACAACAAAAAAAAAUUUAACAUUGUUUUGUUUGGUACCUACAAAAAAUAAAGUUUGAUACCUAAAGGAACCUACGAAACAAAGUUUGAUUCCAACAAAAAAACAACAUCAAAAUAUACACAAUUAAACUUUAUUUGUCAAUAUUAAUAAUAGAAUCAAAAUGCUAACAACAUCAUGUCAGAAUGUAUACUUUCAUGACACAUAUAUCUUUCUAUUUGAACUGAUUUGCUUUGAUUUUAGUAGCAACUGCAGAUCUGAUUUGACUUUAAUUAUUAACACUAGUUGCAGACCUGAUUUGGAUAAAUAUUUUAGCUCUUAUUCUUUCAAAGUUGAUACUAGUAGUAGCAAUUGUAUUUUCCUUUCAUUUGAACUCACGUCUUAGUGUGUAGCAAUAUCAUCACUAAUAACAUCAGUUGUCACUCUUGUACUAGUAUUGAUUAUUCUUCUAUUUGACAAUUCAAGUUGCAUAGUCAAAUAAGAAAUAUUCAAAUCAAAAGAUAUUUAAGCUGCUUAUAAAAUCUUAAUAUGCAUAUAAAGUUAUGCAUUCACUGCUCACAUUAAGAAUUGUAAAGCCAUCUUGAGCUUAGUAUAUUUCAAUCCCUACCAUUAUUGACUUUUUAAAAGGUAUUGUUUGUCCUUCACUAGUGUUCUCAUGUUUUACUGGUCUCUUUCCCUUCCUUGGCCUUUUCCACUAUUUGUUGCUUUAGAAUUAGUUUAGGUAUGUUACGUUGAGGCAUUCUUUUUUUCUAGCUAUGCUUUUGUUCACAUUUCUUUCUUGAGGCAUUACUUUUUCUCUAUUACCAUUCUUUUUCUAUCUAUUUCUAUUCCUUUACAACUUACAAUAAUCUGUUUAUUGAGACUCAAAUUUUAAAAUAUAUUUAUCUUAUCUAAAAAUGAUUGAGUAAUUACAUAAAUUAUCUUUGUAUGUGUAAAAGUUUCAUGUGAUUGAGUUGGAACACUUGAAAUACUGUCUUUACCUCUUUUCUUUACAUCUUCUUUUAUCACUUUUAUUGUUUGUGAUGGCGUGAUUUUUCACAUAUUAGUGCAUAUACUUAAAAUUAUUUCUCUUACAAAUAAAUACAUAUGCCUAUGAAGAAGCUCUAGCUGAUUAAGUUGAACUACUGUCCCUUUCUUUGCCUCUUUCUCUACUAGUAGCAUGUCUAUUGACAUAGUAGUACAAGUACAUAUAACUUACAUUUGAAAGAAACAAAUAAAAAUAUUUAUACCUGAGAAGAUGUUCCAGAUUGAUUUAGACCAACUCAAUCUCUUGUAGGAUAUCCUAUUUUACAGUGUCUUUGUGUACCACAUGUACUACAAGUCAUAUUAGUACCACAAUUAUUAAGCUUUUCAAUUUUCCUGCUUUCUUUUACCUCAUUUGUUUUAACUUUACUUGGUAUUCCGGCAGUUGCUUGCUCUUUGAUAGCUUUACAAUUAAAUUAUUUGAUGUUGUCCACAUUUUCAUGUUAUUUAUUAACUGAAUAAAAUGACCAUGUGCGUUGAGAUAAGUCUUCUUUCUAUAAUAGCUAGCUACAUAGUUGAUUGAUUUCAACUCCUUGUAAUGAAGGGCGCAAACACCAUGAUGACAAAAAAUGCCUCUAAGCUGUCAAGAUCUUCAGCAACAACAACUCCUACGGUGUGAAAUAAUAAGGUUUAAUCUCAAAAUUCCUUUUCCCAAGUGUAACAAACUGAAUUCCAACAGAAGCACUCUUAUAUAUAUUAAUUACUGAAUACAAGUUACAAGGUAGAUUACGCACAACAAAGUAAUAACACACUAAUUACGGAUAGCUUAACAUAGACGAAGGUAACUAGAAGGGGAUGAGAUACUAGACCAUAGAAAGGAGAUGAGAGGAUCAGAAAGUCAAAGCUUCACAUAAUUUCCAUGCCCCUUCUUCUAACUUCUAGUCCUUUUUAAUAGAGAUACUAAUUGGGCCUGGAUCCCCAAAUAAAAGUAGAGCAACUUUCACAUAUAGCAAACAAAAAAAUCAUAUUUGUAUGCUAUAGCAAAGUUUGCAUAAUUGCGCUCCAUAGCAAACAUAUAUAUGUAUAAUUCGCUAUACAUAUACAAUUGAAAGCUGUCUAUUUCGCUAUACAUAUAUACAAAAAGAUAGCAAUUGUAUAAUUCGUUGGCUCCUCUUCAGAAUUGUAUAAUUUCGCUGGCAGGCCAUUUGUAUAAAUUGUUGUUAGCCUCUUGUUUGUAUAAAUCGUUGACAAAAAUAUUUGUAUAUAAAAAAUCGCUCUCUUUCGCUUUAUACAAACAUAAAUUAUACAUUAUACAUACAUUAUACAAACAUAAAACUNNNNNNNNNNNNNNNNNNNNNNNNNNNNNNNNNNNNNNNNNNNNNNNNNNNNNNNNNNNNNNNNNNNNNNNNNNNNNNNNNNNNNNNNNNNNNNNNNNNNNNNNNNNNNNNNNNNNNNNNNNNNNNNNNNNNNNNNNNNNNNNNNNNNNNNNNNNNNNNNNNNNNNNNNNCUGUUGUAUAAAACGAGAAAAAGAGAAAUGCAAAAGAGAACUGGGCAGGGGAAUAUUUUUAUUGUAUAAUUAUAAGUGUAUAGGACGAAUAUAUAUGUAUUUGCAUGUGUAUAUACAAUUUUCUCUCGCUUUAUACAAACAGAAACGCAAUUUAUACACUUCUGUUGUCUAAAGCGAGAGAGGCGAGCACAGAGGGAGUGAGCGAGAGAGGAGAGUGGCGAGCGAGAGUUUGAGGGAGAGAGGUGCUGGCAAACAGUUUGCUACAGGACACAAUUAAAUCAAAGUGUGAUUAUACCAUUUAAUUUGAAUUAAUAGUUUGCCAUUAUAUACAAUUUUCCCAUAAAAGUAUCUAAUAGCCCAUAGGCCCUUACCAAGUCACGUCGGGUUCACAACACCAAGCCAAGACAGAUUGCAUUGUAUUGACACUAAUCUCCUCAAGCAUUGUGCUGCUUGUUUUAUACCUUGCAGAAAGUAUCUACACAUUAAAACUGUGUCAUAUUGUUGUCUAUAAUAUCACAUUUAUUAUGUUCUUGAAUAUAUCUCUUGCACCAUGUAUCCAAGUUCUACCAUAGAAAACCAUCCAAACAAUCCCUUCCUAAUUUUUUCAUUUUCUCUAUAUUGUCCUUCAACUCAAUUGGAAAUGCGGAUUUAGCAAUCCUCCAAUAAUUUUUUGCUCUUUUAUAUUCCUUUACAAUUUUACACCGAUUUACAAGAACAUGUCUUGCACAUUUUUCGUGUCCAUUUGAAUUUCAUAUGUUCUAAAAUCAAGUUUAAAUAAUCGAGUUAUAAAUUUAAUAUUUUAUAUAUAAUAGUAAAAAAAAUAUUAUUAAAAUAAAAUUUGAACUAAAAUUAUUUCACCAUAUUUUUUUGUAUAUUAGCUUCUAUCUCCACUACAUACUUGAAAUUAUGACAAAAAUAUGAUUGCAGAAGGUUCCUUUUCCUUAUCAAGGUAUGAUUUUGGAUAAAAACGCAUUUCAAAAUGUUUAAGAUAUACAUUAAUGAGAAUCACUCAAAGAAUGAGGGGUCACUUUUGGUGAGAAAUAAAAGAAAUGAAUAGAAACGUGAAACCAAUGUUGUUUAUCUCCAGUUUGGUUUAGGGACUUAAAUCACAUAUUUUGUUUAAUUGAAGGUUAAUAUUUUGCCUUCAUUAAUAUGAGAAACAAAAUUAAAAUAAGUCAAUAAUAAGAGGAAAAAAUAUAUAUUUUUUCAUAAUUGUUUGUCACUCUUCAAAUAUGAUUUAUAUCUAGAUAUAAUGUCUAGUGAAUAGCGCUAAAAUUCAAUACAAGUAUUUUAUUUUCGUGUUUUAACUUUUACUAUUGACGAAUCUUACAUAACAUUUUAAAAAAGAGUAUCGAAAUCUAACUGAAUUGUACCAAUAUAAUUGAAAUGAUUUUGAAAAGUCUAAUUUUAGUUAUAAUUCUAAGAGAUUCAAGCCAAAAGUCCAAUAUGAGUACUCAUCAAGUCAUCUUAUCACUUUCUAACUUUUGCUAGCAACUCUUACAUAACUAUUUAAAAAAUAUAUCAAAACUAACUGUACCAAUAUGAUUAAAAUAGUUUUAGAGAAGUGAUCUAAUUUUAGUUAUAGCUAAAUUGUAUCGAUAUCAAAGAAAAACCUAUAAGAUUGGAAUGAAUUUGAAAGUCUAAUUGUAUACAAACUAAAAUAAUCGAGAAAUUGAUAUUGAUACAAAUUUUAUAAAAUAAUCAAUCCAACCGAACCAUUACGCCCCUAAUUAAAAGGUGAUGGUACAAAUCAAUGAACAGCCUGACAUUUCUUAUGGUUUGAGUUGGGACUGUGCAGGAACACUAAUUUUUGACAACCUCAAGAUCGAGCCUUCAACGGGAGUGUUGCUUUGUUAAGCCAACCCCUAAUUAAAAGAUUAUGGUCCAAACCAAUGAAUAACUUGACAUAUCUAGUGGUUUGACUUGAAAUUGUGCGGAAACACUGGUUUUUGACAACCUCAAACUUGGCCAUCGGCGGGAAUGCAGCUCUAUUAAGCUAGCCCUUAAUUAAAAGAUGAUGGUCCAAUUCAACGAAUGACCUGACAUUUCUAGUGGUUUGACUUGAAACUUUGCCCAAACUCGGGCCAUUGGUGAGACUGCUGCUCUGUUAAGCCAGCCUAAUAAAAUUACUUUAUUUUACUCCCACCGUAAACAUGAUGCACUUAUUAUGAACUCACUAUUUGUCGAGGGCUGAAGAUUUGAACGUCCCGAUCAUCUUAAUGCUCCCACUUGGGUUACAAGCUCACGUUACUAAGCUCAGCAAUAUGUGUUGUCUUGUUGAGUACUUAUAAAAAGAAACUUUUGGUCUGGUGUCACCGAUGUGGGAUGUGACUUGAUUAUUGCUUAAUUAAAUCUUGUAUGGUAAUUAAGGAUGUGUUCAGCAUAGAGGUUUUUUUUUCUUCUAGUUUUUCCAUGUUCGAUUGAUCACAUAUUUUAGAAAAUACUUCCGUAGAAAAACAAGUUCAUUAAAAAAAUAAAAAAUAAUUUUCCUAAUGAAAGUAUGAAAAAAACAAAUUCCACAAAUGACAUUUCACAUUGAUUGCUCACCAUCCAAACACACUUCAUCUUCAUCCUUGCCCCAAUAACCCCAUCCCCACAACCCCAAUGUAUAGUGAGUCUCACUAAAGUCCAGCGUGAGUCUCAUCUUAUCAUGUUCUAACUUCUACUGGCGAUGACUCUUACAUAACAUUUUCUAAAAAAUAUGAAAAACCAAUCAAAUUGUAUAGAUGUGAUUGCAAGGUCUAAUUUUAGUUAUAAUUUCUAGUGAAUCGCGCUAAAAUGCAGUACAAGUACUCAUCUUUAUCACAUUUUAACUUCUACUAGUGAUGAAUCGUACAUAACAGUAUAAAAAAGAGUAUCAAAAGCUAAUUGAACUGUACCUAUAUGAUUGGAUUGAUAUUGAAACCCCCCACAUAGCUCUAUUCCCACUAGAGGCGUAUCCAGGAUUUCGGCUAGAUGGGUGCACGAUUACGAAAAAAUAUAUUUUAAAUAUAAAUUUGAUCAAUUUGACUUUUAGUUCAUACAUGAACCAUUAAAUUUUAAAAAUUAUAGGUUCAAAAUGUAUAAUACUACUAGUUUUAAAUUUUAAUAUACACAUUUGAUUUAAUUAUAUAAAAAAUUUACAAUGUUAAAUAUUUUAGGAAUUUUCAAUGUAACACAUUUGAAAAUUUUGAAAGAUUAAAGGAAAAAACAAAAGCAAGAAACGUCAAAAGUGUAACCGAUAAUCACUUGAAAAUGUGUUACUCACAGAGACAAAAUAGAUAUAAGAUUUAAAUUUAUAUCCUCACUUAAAGAGGUGCACCCAAUCAUCAUCGCAUUAUUAUAUGAUAUACUUUGAACAUGGGUUCACACAUCUAUAUUUAAAUAUUUUUUAAAAAAUAUAACACUACUAUAUAUGAUCUAGAGAGGGGAGCAUGGGUUCACGUGAACCCACGGCACCCUCUCUAGAUACACCUCUGAUUCCCACCACCCCCAUUAUUUAGAGACUCACGCCAAAAUUUCAAUAUGAAUACUUAUCUUGUUAUGUUCUAACUUCUGCUAGUGACAAGUUUUACAUAACAUUUAAAAAAGUUAACGACAAUUAAUUAAAUUGUAUCGAUAUAAUUGGAAAGUGUAAUUUUAGUUAUAAUUAAUGUCUAGUGAGCUGCUAAAAUUCAAUACAAACAUUCAUCUGGUCAUGUUCUAGCUUCUACUAGUCACGUAUCUUACAUAACAUAUUAAUUAAUAGAGUUUAUUUUUAAAAAAAUUAACAAACUUAUAAUUUACAAAGCUUUAAUAAUUUAUCACUUACAUAGCUAACUUACUUUGAAUUUUAAAAUUUGAAAGUCUAACAAUCUAACUUUACAAGGAAUUGAAUUUAACAAACUUACAAUUUCCAACACUUUCAAAAAAUUAUUUCUUACUGAGCUAACUUACUUUGAAAUUUAUAAAGUCUAACAAUCUAACAUUUAUAAAGAAUUAAAUUUUAAAAAUAAAAAAAUGUAAUUAAAAAUCACAACUUAGAUAUUUCAUAAUAUUUUUUUAAAAAAAAUUAUCGUGCCGCGAUCUGUUCUGUCCUGUAAAAUAGGUAGAUCGGGACGGGACUAUCGAUUUUGACCCCUCUGUCCUGGUCCGGGAUAGGCCCAUUCCCAGCUCAAUCCCUACCAAUGUUGUCCUGGACCCGCCCCAUUCGCCCCUAUCCCUUUAUGAGAUUAUACUGAGUAGUGAAUAAUGUUGUUGUAUAUUUCUAUUUCUUUCCUUUUCAAAUAUAACACAUAAUUUAAAGUGUAAAUGCUGCAUUAUUAGGUAUGCCAAAAUGGCCUAAAUACAGGUGACCGCAUAGAAGUGAUCUUGAAUGGGGAAUACAAUAAUUUUAUAAACGAUACAACGACCUUACCUCAUUAUUUUAUUUUGAUAAUUACGGUAUUAAGGUUCAAUACAUCCAAACUUCAACUAAUUUUAUAAAGUAUGUGUCGCCUCCCAUUAACAAUAGAUAUCAAGCAACUCUGUACCCUCAAGGCUUGAACAUUAGAUGAUUUUUUUCUCAUAAGUUCCAGUCUUGGAAGAUAAAAUUAUUGAGAUCUAAAUCCGAAACUUCAUGGCACUCACCUACUUCAUUGACACGCCCUUAGGUGCUAAAUUCUACAUCAUUAUUAUGCUGCUACUCUUUGGGGUAGUUUGGUGCGCACAAUGAAGUGGACUAUUCCAAGAUUAAGCUUGGAAUAAAAUUUAUUAUGCAUUUAGUUGAAGGUAUAAAUUAACAUCAACCAAACACAAGCAUAAAUUUAAUCCAAGUUUAAUCAUGAAAUAACUCAAGCUUAGUCAAAGGAUUACAAUCCCAAGAAUAUGAUCACAGAAUAACGACCCCUUUAGGUUUAAAAGUGGUACUUCACUGCCAUGCACAUAAAGUGAAGAGCAUUAAACCAUAAUUUUCAGCAAUCCAAAUUACAGAGCAGCCACACCAGUUGGAUAUUGGCUUUCAUGUUACCACUAUGAGCUUGAGAAACAAGUCAUUCAUUCGAAUAUGUAAAAAUAGGAGCAAAUACUAUCCAGAAAACUAUCUUCCAUUGAGUAGCAUGAUUAAAUCAAACAAAAUUGGAUUUAGAAAACAAUUCAUGACACAAGAAAACUACAUAUUGCGAUCAGCCAAAGCUACUCCAGCUCAAGUCUCACCCUAUGCCACAAGUGUGCUGGCAGUGGUAGAUUCGCUGCACAUACGAGGAAAUAAAAAUAAUCAGCAACGUUCAGUUAUAUAAGAAUUGCUGCAAAUGAAUAAGAUGGCAUACACCUUGCUUUUUAAACCAGGAAAGUAGUAAAAACAACGGAAAAAGAAAAGGAAAUUACAGCACAUGUUGGUUUUAGAACCAUGUAACUUGAAAGAUUGUUUUAAACCAAGAACAAUGCUCGAAACUCAAAUGGAUAAUAAUGGGCCAUCCUUCUUUCUCCAUUAAAUAUCAGGUUUUAGUUUGGGGCAAGGUUCAAACCCAUAACAUGCGCCUAAUCCACACAUAAACAUGCUAAACUCUUACCAGUAGACCAAAGACCCAGGAACAGAUCCACAUAAGAAAAUCACCAAAAACAUUUAGAAAAGCAAACAAAGAACAGAUUGAAGAAUCAAUGUCAACGGAUUAUAUGCUGUGCAUCCCAGUAUAUAAGUAUUCCACUACGAGCAAACCAGAGUACUAUGGUAAGAAGUAAAACUUUGCUGUAUUUAAAGAAAAAAUAUACCCAAACCUGGAAACAAACAACUUCUUCACCAUUCAGAACUUUCCUUAAACAGUUUAGUAGUUUUCUUGGUGCAUUUUUCAAUAAUAUGCACCAAACACAAUUUAGACAUAAAAUGAUACCAAAGUUAAACUAGAAAGGAGAAACAAGUGUCAAGGAACGGUGGGUUUCAUUACAACUUUAAAGAUUGCUAUACACAAACCAGGAAAUUUCAUUUACAAUGGAGCAUAUAUCAAGAAGAGGGAAGCAAACAACAAUAACAAGUUCACAACCAUGGCUCGAUCCCAAGCUAGUUGGAGGUUAGCACAUGAAUCCUCACAAUUCAUUUUGCUCAAUUAAGACACCUCACAAUCAAAAACAGCAUAAACCUAUCACAGCCAAUAAUCCUAAAUAUUAGAAAGAUUUCAGCUAACUUUUUAAAUUGUAAGGAAAAUAAAUCUUAUGCCUAGCUCAAUUCCAAAAGCAAACUCAUGAUGCGGGGAGACACCCCCAACAACCCAUUCUUUAGCGUACACAUAGGCCAUGGAGGCUAAGCAUUGGGCAAAUAAAGAAUAGGGGUGGGGGAGGGAAGAAGUUUAGGCUUAACGCUUCCCCAAAAGCUAACUCACGAGGUGAUUACCUAAUGACCAUAUGAGCAGGCAACAACUCAUUCUCUGAACCAGUGUGGCUGGCUCACUUUAACAUUAACAAACUACUAAUUGCUGCCCAUCUUUCAGGAUCAUCAGUUCACUUAAAUCAAAUAAGAAAACCUAUGUUUAACAAAGUGAAACCAAACCACUCCGGCAAUCUUAACGGAAUCAACAAUGCAUACUAUUUGCAGUGCGCUAAAUGCAACUCAAUACCACACUAAGAUAUUCAAAGUAAUGCAAAAAAUUAUAAACAAGAUAGAGUAGCAAGUAAGCUUACUAUUUCCAGACAGGUGGGAGCUUUUUUGUUUUCUUGUAAUAGCGAGCAAGGCGAUGGAUCCUGCUCUCCACCAAAAUCAAACGGAACUUGGAAUCCUUAUCCUUCCUGUUCCUCUCCAAAUGCUUCCUGAUGGCAACAGCUUUCUUAAUCAGGUGGUACAAAUCCUCUGGAAUCUCAGGUGCAAGCCCUAUCAAUUAUCCCAAAAAUUACUCAUACAUCUCAAACCACAUUCAUUCAAAUACUCAUAAACCAAACCACACAUAAACAAUGAUAAAAACGUACCGUGUGCCUUGAGGAUACGCAAGAUCUUGCUACCAGUAACACUCUUCACUUGUGCAAUUCCAUGAGAAUCACGAAGAAUCACACCAAUCUGUGAAGGGGUCAAUCCUUUCUUAGCGAACUUGCAAAUGUUGUCCUCAACCUGAAAUCAGAAAAUCAAGCAAAACUUAAUUAAAAUUUCUAAAAACAUCUAUAUAGUAGUAGAUAAUAAAGGUGGGAUGAUUUACAUCUGGAGCGGAGAUCUUGAGCCAACUAGGAGGAGUUCUCUUGUAAGGGAGAGCAGAAGCUGAAAUACCCUUACUGAAACCACAAAAAACAGGGGAAACAGAAAAUGUCAAAUUGAUGCUCACAAAAAUGAAAAAAAAAAUGGAGAUUCAAAAGAGAGAACAACGAACCCACGACUGUGCAUGCGACCCAUGAUGGCGGAGUUAGGGUUGGCGACUGGUGGUCUGCAAUGGAGGCUUACCUUGGGUUGUGCGGAAGGAUUUUUAUGAAAGCUGCUUCUCUUCUUUAAUCUAUGGCGUUUUACUAGGGUUUAGUAUUACUACUUUGGGCCUUCAGAAGCCCAGUUUUCUGGGUUUACUGGGCUGGAGUUAACAUAGUUUCCUAUAGAAGGUGGGCCUAUCUUCAGCCCAAGUCGUGUAAAUCUGUGUAAAUCAUUUUCAUCUUUUAUGUAGUAGGCAUUCAUUCACACAUAAGAUUCAGGAUCUCAAUUUUAUGUUUGAAUUUGAAAUUAGAGGUUUAUUUCAACUUCAAUUUCAGCUAUCAAAUUCUUCAAAAAGUAGGAUUUUAAAUUAAAAAUUAUGAUUUCAAUUUUUAUUAUAUAAAAUUUGAUUCAUAAGUGUAUAUUAUUUAUAUAAAGAUUCAUUAUUUUAAAUUUUGUAAAAAGAACUCAUGCCCAUGCUCGAUGUGAAAUAUAUUGUAUUAAAAAAUAAUUUGUUAUCUAGUGGAUCUUUAUAAAAAAAAAAUGUAUAUUUAAAAGUUUGUAAUAUAAUAUAAAUUACCACAUUGUUGUACAUUCUAACUAAAAUUACGAUAGUGUGUCGAAGCCACACUGUCAUGCCGUAUACCCAAAUUACUGGUAUCGUUUGACUAACAACACUUAUAACUAUUUGUUGUUGAAUUAUACACCUAAGUAAUUCAAUAUUCAAAUUGGGAAGAUUUGUGUUACAUCAAAGGUUAAAAUCAUUGUUGAUAGAUUCUUCGCAGGACCGUCUUAAUCCCUAGGCCACUAAAAUCAUCGCUUCUGGCUCCAUUUUUUUUUGGGCUCCACUUUCUUUACAAAAAUACUUAUAAAUGUUAUUUUUUAAAAGAAAAUUAUAUGUACUAUGAAUGUUAUGAUUUCUACUAAGGAAAUUGCAUAUGAAAUGAAUAUAGAACUUGAAUUUCGUAAGAAACAAUUUGAUGAAAAUCACAAAAACACACAAACACAGAUUUGUUUAUUUUCCAAAUGCACAUAUUGCUUAUUGAAUAAUGUUAACCAUUCCUCUAAUUGUUCCCUAAGUCGAAAGAAGUUUUUCGAAACUAAAAUUGACUAAAUCUUAUUUAAGAUCAACAAUGUCUUACUGGAGAUUGAAUGGAUUAGCUAUAUUAUCAAUUGAAAAGAAAUUAUUAAAACAGUAACUAAUGAUUUCGCAUCUAAAAAAGCUAGAUUUGUAUAUUUCAAAGAAAAGUAUAUAUGAUGAAAACAAACAAUAUUAGAGCUCCUCCUUUAAGUUUCGUUUUAGGCCUCCAAUCUUGUUAAAUUUGCCCUGAUUCUUCGCUUUGGAUAAAGCGUUCAACUGUUGGAUCAAUGUCAAGCAUUGUUUAUGUUGAUGGGAUUGCUAAAAAUCUCAUAACGAAGAAAUAACAAUAAAAAUUAUCAUCCCAAAUUCGAGUCUCACCAUAAAUUGAAAAUUCAUUGAUUACAAAUGACACUGAAUAUUCUCAAGUGAUACCACUGAAAGUUCCAGAUCACUUAUGAUUAUUUUAUUCCUAGCCUAAAAUGGACAGAAAAUGUGUCCAAAUCUGCAAUUUUUUUGGUUGAUGUACAAUGUGCUCAAAUGUGUAGCUAAUUUUUUUUUGGCAGGCUGUUAAAGGUUAUAACUGCAUUAUAAGAAGAGCCAAGGGUAGCUCAAUCAGGGGUGAACCUACGUUGGGUCAAGAUGGUUCAUAUGAUCCACUUUGUAAAAAAAUUACAUGAUAGCCUUUGGUCCAGUGGUAAAUCGGGCACCGUUUUGUGAAGGCCCAAUUUUUUAGUAAUAAUAAAAUUAUGGGAAAAUUACGCGGAAAAGCAGACAUAUACUAAUUAAUUAGCUAAUAUAGUUAUAGUAUGAAUUAAUUACGGCUUGCAGCUUAAUUUUAGCUUUAAUUACUUCACUUGUCCUCUUUUAUACAUAUACAAAUACAAAUUAUGCACACAUAUAUAUACAAUUAUAUGACAUGUAUACAAUACAAUUAACCUCUCUCCGCUCUGUGACCUUUCUCGCUCGUCUCUCUCCUCUCUCCCAAUCUCGCUCGCCUCUCUCCUCCCUCUCCCUAUCUCUCUCGCCAGAUAUACUAAUACAUAUGUAUAUCAGUUAUAUAUAUACAAUUAUCUGACAGAUAUACAUAUACAGUUCGCCUCUCUCCACUCUAUGCCCUCUCUCGCUCGCCUCUCUCCUCUCUCUCCCAAUCUCGCUCGCCUCUCUCCUCCCUCUCUCAAUCUCGCUCGCCAGAUAUACAAAUACAUAUGUAUAUUAGGUACAUAUAUAUACAAUUAUUUGACAGAUAUACAUAUACAAUUCGACUCUCUCCACUCUCUGCCCUCUCUCCUCCCUCUCCCAAUCUCGCUCGCCACUCUCCUCUUUAUAACAUGUAGCUACGAAUUGUAAUUAGCAAACUAUAGCUAUGGAGCGUAAUUAAACUAUUUUAUUAGUGGUUAUAUGCGAAAGUUCCCCUAAAAUUAUUAUAAGCUUUUUCAACAAAAUAAUAUACUAUAUCUUUUAAUUUUUUAUCUUUUUUAGUUCGUUUCGAAACAUUAAAAAAUGUUUUUGUCUUUUUGUCGAUUUUAAAAUUUAACUUCCACAUAAUAUGUUUAAGAUCACAAGAUUAAAAAAUGUUUUGGUAUAUCUUUAGUUUAAGACCAUAGAAAAAAUAAAGUUUUUUAAUUAAAAAAGAAAGAAUAUAAAUUUGUAUCUCAAAAAUAAAAUAUAAAAAAUUAAUUAAAAGUUAGACUCCGAUUUAUUUUUGGCUUCAGGCCACUAAUUAGCCUGAGCCGCCACUGUUGGACAGUAAAUGAAAAGAGUUCCCUUAAACGAAAGAUAGAAAAAUAAAGCAAAGAAACAAGACAAUAUGUUAGAAAAAUAAAGUAAGAAAACAGUAUAAGAGAUAUGCAUUCUAUAUAAAAAGAGUUGGACAGUAAAUGAAAAAAGUUCUCUGAAGGUGAUCAAAAAGAUUCGACGAAAACCGGGCAUACAUUCGAGAGAGAGAAGGAUUAGUUCCUGUCUGGGUCAAGGGGACGGGUAAAAAACAAUCAAGACUUUUAAGAAUACAUAAGACCUUCUUAGGAAAGUCUCUAUCCUUCUCUUACAGUCAAUCAUUCCUAAAGUCAAGACAUACGAAAUUAUAAAAUUAGAUCUCCGUAAAUUUUAUUUCAGAGACAUUUUCGUAUAUAUCUCACCCACAUAAUUGGAAACUAGACGAUAACGUAAGAUCACUUGUUGCCAUGCGAUUAACAAAAAUUAAGCAGCGGUUAGUAAAAGUUAAACAAUAAUGUUAAAUGAAAUGAUUGUGCCUCAUCUUCUUUGAAUUGUUUGACAACUCCCAAAGUUAUCAUAUCAAUGACAUGAUUGUGCCUCAUCUUAAUCGUUUUAAUAAUUUUGAUAAAUUUCUGUUCAUCUUUUAUAUCUGGAUAGUAUCGAAUUUUUAUUACAAAAAGAAUCCAAAUACAAUUGACGUAAUUGAAAGAGACAAAGCAACACAACAAACAAACGAACUAUUAAUCUUCAAGUGUUAGUAACACGAAGAGGAAAAUGGAAUACCUUUAAAACAUUAGGCAAGUGUUAGUAAUAGAAAGAGGAAAAUUGAAUACCUUUAUAACAUUAUACUUCGAAGACAAUCCAUAGGAAGAUUUUCAAAAUCAAGAAUUCUACGAGCAAAUCCAAUGAGUAACUCUCUGUGAAUAAAUUGAGCAGAACUAACCAAAUCUAUUCUCAAAAAUGGACUUAUCCAAUGCUCCCCAUUUCUUCACCUCUACUGUCAAUACCUCAACAAAGGCUACAGAGCCGGCAGAAGGGGGAAGCCACUAAAGCAAUUGCUUUAGGCCCUUAAGUUGAAGCCCCCAAAAUAUUAUUUUAUGUGCUCUAAAAUGUGAUAAAAGUUACUCGAAUAUUAAUUCAAAUUUUAUGUUCUUUUCAUCUGUAUUAAGUAAUUUUUUUUAAAAUUUUUUUUAGUCGGUAUCAUAACGAAUAACAUCUUAUAAGAAAUUGAUUUUAAACUUCUUGUUUUAAUCUUAAUGAGAUAAUUUAUUGCUACAAAAUUUCUAUAAUUUCUUUUAGAUCACAAAUUUUAAAAAUCUUCAUUCCUUUUUAAAAAAAUUAUGUAUAAACUCAAAUACCUUCACAUGAAUUAGUGAACAAUAAACAGUAUAAUAUAUAUAUAUAUAUNNNNNNNNNNNNNNNNNNNNNNNNNNNNNNNNNNNNNNNNNNNNNNNNNNNNNNUAAAAGAUGAAGUCUCUUGCUUUUCUUACUUGGGGAAGGGAGAAUAAGAAGGGGAUACAAAAUGAGAAUCGAAUUCUCACCAAUAAGGUGAAAGUUUAGAUAGUCAAUCAACUGAACUAUUAAGAUUUUUCGAUGAAGUCUCUUUUAUAGUUGAUUAUAUCUUCUUCUUUUUUAAAUUCAAAAUACAACAACAUCAAUGCAACAACAUAUCCGGUGAAAUUCCACAAAGUGAGGUCUAGAGAGAGUAGAGCGUACAUAGACUUUAAUAACCGUUAGUAUAUGUUUCUGAUACAAAUAUCUAUUGAGUUUUAGUUUUGUGCGUCGUCGGUGUAUGAAAAAUCUACACCAUCAGGUAUUUUUAAUGAGAUUUAACCAUAGUAACUUAUUUUAAUAAAAUAACAAUAAUUAUAAAUAAUAAUAAAAAGAAUAUCAACGAGCUGAGUCCUACUUGGAUUCUAAUCAAAUUUAUUUCCAUAGAUAAAUUAUUUUCUUUCCAAACUUAAUUACAAUAAUGAGGUUUACCGUAGGUUUUCCUAGGAUCAUGUUUAUGAAAUUCUUCAAAGCCAAAAACUUCUGAAUUUGCUAAGAAAUAAUUUUUAGAGCAUCAGGCGAUUUUGAAACUUGACAAGCCUCUUCUACUUAGUGGUGUGUCUUUAUAUAAUUAGAACAAAUUUCACAUUAUUUCUCGUUUACAGGCAUAAAAAGGCCUCUUUUGAUUUUUGAACAUAUCUUCAUGAGCAAAGAAUUUCAAUGUACUAAAUAUAAGUGAAUAUAGUCUCGUGAGAGGUGAAUAUUGUAUCUUAAAGUGUCUUCAUAUUGUCCCCAAUACUUUUGGUCUGCUCUUUAGAAUGUUGGAAGGAAUUUAUUAAUUGAACUUUCACUAAUAUUGAAUAUGUUUCUUAAUUAAAGUGUUGGAUAAAUAUAUGAGCAGAUUCAUUAUUGUAAGCUAUCUAACUUUUAUAUUUUGCAGGAUUAAUGGAAAAAUCAAAUAUAGAUGAGCAAAAUCUAGAAAGCUGAAGUUUUAUUGGAAGAAAGUGACAUGGAUGGAAUUGGACAAACUGCUUCUAAUAUAGGUGUGGAAAAUUCAAAAGACCCAUACAGCAGUAACGAGUUUCAGUCUCUUGAUGAUUCAUUUACGUUUUAUCUUGCUUAUGCUCAUCAUAGUGGUUUUACUGUGCGUCGUGGUCGUAUGACUAAAUCAAGAAAAGAUAAAUCAAUAAUUGGUCAAGAGUUUGUUUGUUCAAAGCAAGGAUUUCGUUCAAAGAAAAAUUUAGAAAACAAUAAACCACAAGAUGAAACUAGAGAAGGAUGCAAAGCAUUGUUAUAUAUGUCGAAGAAAGGAGAAGAUAAAUGGGUUGUUUGUAGGCUUUGUUGCUGAGCACAAUCAUGAACCUGCAUCUCCAAAUAGUCAAAAGUUUUUGCGGUCAAGAAGAAAAAAAUUUGAGGCCCAAAAAAAUCUUCUUGAUUUGCUUGAUAACUCAGGAGUUCAUCCAAGUAAAACAACAUCAGUAUUGAUAAAUCAAGUUGGGGGUGUUGAUCGAUUGAAUUUAAUAGCUCUAGAUAUUCAUAAUUAUUUACAAGCGAGAAGACAAAAAGAUCUCGAAAAAAGAGAUGCACAAUUAAUGCUACAAUAUUUUCAAAGACGUCAAUCCGAGAAUCCAGGUUUCUUUUAUGCAAUACAGAGGAUGUAAAUGGUCAUUUAGCUAAUAGUUUUUGGGUUGAUGCUAGAUCUAGGAUAGCGUAUUAAGAAUUUCAGGGAAGUAGUUGUUUUUGAUCCUACAUAUUUGACAAAUAAAUAUAAGAUGCCUUUUGUUCCAUUUACUGGAGUUAACAACCAUCAUCAAUUUAUUUUGUUUGGUUGUGCUCUACUUUGGGAUGAAACUCAAGACAUUUUCGAGUGGUUACUUCGUACUUGGAAGAGGCAAUGUUUGGAGUGACACCUCAUACAAUCAUAACAUAUCAAAAUUUUGCCAUAACAAAUGCAGUUGCAACAAUAUUUCCUAACAGUAAACCUCACUUUUGUAUAUGACACAUAACAAAAAAGAUUUCAGAAUAUGUAAGUCAUGGGUGCCAUCAGUAUUACGAUUUUAGUAACAAGUUUAGUUGGUGUAUUCAUGGUACAACCACUCUGGAGGAGUUUGAAACGGUGUGGAUCGAGAUAACGAAAAUGUAUAAUUUAGAAGAAAAUAGUAGGUUGCAGAGGAUAUAUGAAAUUCGUGAAAAAUGGAUACCGGCAUAUGAGUGUACCACUUUUUAUGCAGGCAUGUCGACAAGUCAAAGAAGUGAGAGUAUGAACAAAUUUUUUAAAGAUUAUUUGAAUUCUAGUACUCCAAUGAGUGUACGUGUGGUGCAAUAUGAUAAGGUUAUUGACGCUAGAUAUGAUAAAGUAAGGGAGAAGGAUUACAAGACAAAACAUUCUCGACCUAUCUUGAAAACUUUGUAUCCUAUGGAAGAUGAAGCAGCGAAGGAAUAUACAAGAAAAAUGUUUCAGAUUUUUCAAGAAGAACUAAUUCAAUCUCAAAAAUUUAUCGCUGAAAAGAUUGAGGUUAAGGAGGGAGCAAACAUCUAUAAAGUCCAUCAGCUUCAAAGACAAAGUCGGCAUAUAUAGUUAGUCUGGAUCUGCCAUUGAAAAGAGUUGUUUGCUCAUGUCACAAGUUCGAGUUCAUGGGAAUUCUAUGUAGACAUGUACUAAUGGUAUUUACAUAAAAAAAAAGAUUCACUCACUUUCAAUGUAUUAUUUAUUAGAUCGAUGGAGAAGAAACACAAUCAAAGAAAAAGCUAAUGACCCUCCAAAUGUAAUACAAACUAUGAAACCUUCUACUUUGUGGUUUAAUAACAUUAUGAUGCAUUCUAUUGGGCUAUCUGAACGAGCUACAAAGUCUGAAAAACAUUAUCGCUUUAUGCAUCAAAGAUUAUUGCAAUUGUGUGGAGAACUUGAUAAACUUCCUUAUGAAUCUAAGGAAGAUUGUGUAUCAGGUGGUCAAGUUAGAGAGAAGAUCAGGAAAUAAACUCAUGUGAACAAAGUCAAGAUGUUACUUUACUUGACCCUCCGGUAGCAACAAAUAAAGGGCGUCCGAGAUCUUUGAGGAUGAGAGGUUCUCUAGAAGUUACUUAGAAGACCAAAAAAAAUUCUUCUCCAAAAAUCAAAAAAGUUUCUUCUCAAAAGCCAAAAAAGCAAACGAGAAGUAUAAAAGUUAAGAGAAAGGGAACAAGGUAAUUUCACUUUACAGAAUGCAUAUUAUUUCUACUGGGAUUACUUUUGUAAUAACUUCUAAAAUUUCAUAUGUAGUUCAAAUUUUGAUGCUUAUUCAGAAUUUUAUCAAGAAUAUGUUGAGAAUCCUGGUUGUGCAUUAUGUCACCUCCUUUACAAUAAAGAACUGUUCUUUCUUUAAUCAUGUCGUUUAUAUAUUGUUACAUGCUAAGAUGCGUGUUGAUGAAUUAUUAUUCUCUUUUCAGGAUCUAAUGAAAGCGGCUUCAACUCCAUUCCGACAAUAUCGUCCUAGUUAGUGAGUAAAAAGACAGAAGAUUUGGAGCUUUGAGAAUACGAAGAAAAGAGGAAGAAACAGUUCUUUAGUUUAAAUUUAUUAGUUUUCUCUGUUUUUUUAAUUCUAAAUAGUCUUUUCAUAGUUUAUUUUGAUGUUUUUAUGGUGUAAAGGCAGUAUUAGUAUUUGGACAUAAUCAACAUGUAAGCAUGUUGAUCAAUGAACUAUAUAUAAGGUGAUACUGCUUGCGAAAAAUUCUACGCCAUUGAUACUCUGUGUACACAAAAAUAGAAAAAAAAUUAUGUUUAAUUAUUUUAUAAUAGAUCAUGCGAUAUUGAGAAAAUUAUAUCAAGGAAAAAUGUUGGCAUAAAAAAACACACGUGUUAGAAGAAACGAUCGAUCAAAAAGUACAAUAUUUGUCAUCAUUCAAUGUAGUUUCUUGAGAUAUAUGACAAUGUCGAAUCUCUACGUUUAUAUUCAACAAUAUUGCAAAAACCUUAGUUAUUUCUAUUAUUCGGAUAUUAGUUAAGAAUCUUUCAUAAAGCUUAAUGAAGUCACUUAUGACCACUUGAUGCACAAAUAAAUUACCUAGUGUAUUAAUAAUUCGUAAUAUGUCGUGGGAAACCCUAACCAAACUAAAUGUGAAGUUCGCAAUAAUAUAUGUAAACAGUAAUUUAACAAAUUGUUUUUUUCGAAAAUUCACCACAGGAAAAAGUGAUAAACAUCCAUCAUAUUUGCAUUCUAUUUUGUUGCAAAGUUAACAUGAGUAAACACAAGAAGAUCAUUUUGAAUCACAUUUCAUAGAUCCCAUUAAGAUAAAUGAAAAGCAGAAGCACUGAAAAGAUGAGUUUUAAGUUACACGGCGUCUAAACUAUACACCAAGGAAGAAGCAACUGUACUUUGAGGUGCUACAUGAUUAUAGGAUGCCAAAUACCACAUACAGGAUAACACCUGAAUCACAAAUUGUUCAAUGACAGUAAACAAAAGAAAAAACACCGAAAUCAAUCCUACGAAAUUGCAAAUUAGAUGCACUGGAACAUGCCAAAAUGAAAGACCAAGCUACAAAUACUCGCAAAGUCAGCUUUCUUGUUUUCAUCCAACGAAUAUUAC
Molecule: long non-coding RNA, 34006 nt
Filed under: Solanum tuberosum (potato)
Lineage: Eukaryota; Viridiplantae; Streptophyta; Magnoliopsida; Solanales; Solanaceae
Description: long non-coding RNA (STUB_LNC003846)
Source: RNAcentral